Molecule: ribosomal RNA, 433 nt
Filed under: uncultured bacterium
Lineage: Bacteria
Description: partial 16S ribosomal RNA
Rfam family: Bacterial small subunit ribosomal RNA
Source: RNAcentral
AACGAACGCUGGCGGCAUGCCUAACACAGGCGAGGCGAACGAGACCUUCGUGUCUAGUGGCGCACGGUUGCGUAACGCGUGGGAACCUGCCCUUAGGUUCGGAAUAACUCCCCGAAAGGGGUGCUAAUACCGGAUAAUUUCUUCUUACCAAAGAUUUAUCGCUUUUUGAUGGGCCCGCGUUGGAUUAGCUAGUUGGUGGGGUAAAAGCCUACCAAGGCGACGAUCCAUAGCUGGUCUGAGAGGAUGAUCAGCCACACUGGGACUGAGACACGGCCCAGACUCCUACGGGAAGCAGCAGUGGGGAAUAUUGGACAAUGGGCGAAAGCCUGAUCCAGCAAUGCCGCGUGAGUGAUGAAGGCCUUAGGGUUGUAAAGCUCUUUUACCCGGGAUGAUAAUGACAGUACCGGGAGAAUAAGCUCCGGCUAACUCCGUG